GAUGAAGAACGUAGCGAAAUGCGAUACGUAAUGUGAAUUGCAGAAUUCAGUGAAUCAUCGAGUCUUUGAACGCACAUUGCGCCCCCUGGUAUUCCGGGGGGCAUGCCUGUCCGAGCGUCAUUGCUGCCCUCAAGCACGGCUUGUGUGUUGGGCCUCCGUCCUCCUCCCGGGGGACGGGCCCGAAAGGCAGCGGCGGCACCGCGUCCGGUCCUCGAGCGUAUGGGGCUUCGUCACCCGCUCUUGUAGGUCCGGCCGGCGCUUGCCGACACAUCAAUCUUUUUUCCAGGUUGACCUCGGAUCAGGUAGGGUUACCCGCUGAACUUAAGCAUAUCAAUAAGCGGAGGA
This 345-nucleotide unclassified non-coding RNA is filed under the name soil metagenome. RNAcentral describes it as "partial contains 5.8S ribosomal RNA, internal transcribed spacer 2, and large subunit ribosomal RNA". The stretch from base 1 to 120 matches the Rfam family "5.8S ribosomal RNA", at positions 35 to 154 of the family's 154-position model. The record is from RNAcentral.